ACUGGAAGAAUUUUCGGAUGGAUUUCGGUAUAGUUUAGUGGCGGACGGGUGAGUAACACGUGAGCAACCUGCCUUCGAGAGGGGAAUAACGGCUGGAAACGGUCGCUAAUACCGCAUAACAUACCGGGAGGACAUCCUGCUGGUAUCAAAGAUUUUAUCGCUCGAAGAUGGGCUCGCGUCCGAUUAGGUAGUUGAUGAGGUAACGGCUCACCAAGCCGACGAUCGGUAGCCGGACUGAGAGGUUGAACGGCCACAUUGGGACUGAGACACGGCCCAGACUCCUACGGGAGGCAGCAGUGGGGGAUAUUGCACAAUGGGGGAAACCCUGAUGCAGCGACGCCGCGUGUGGGAAGACGGUCCUCUGGAUUGUAAACCACUGUCCCCAGGGACGAAGAUGACGGUACCUGGGGAGGAAGCUCCGGCUAACUACGUGCCAGCAGCCGCGGUAAUACGUAGGGAGCGAGCGUUGUCCGGAAUUACUGGGUGUAAAGGGAGCGUAGGCGGGGAUGCAAGUUGGGUGUCAAAACUACCGGCUCAACUGGUAGUCGCACUCAAAACUGCAACUCUUGAGUGAAGUAGAGGCAGGCGGAAUUCCUAGUGUAGCGGUGAAAUGCGUAGAUAUUAGGAGGAACACCAGUGGCGAAGGCGGCCUGCUGGGCUUUUACUGACGCUGAGGCUCGAAAGUGUGGGGA
RNAcentral lists this ribosomal RNA (692 nucleotides) under uncultured bacterium. RNAcentral's name for it is "bacterial SSU rRNA". It matches the Rfam family "Bacterial small subunit ribosomal RNA", at positions 66 to 767 of the family's 1533-position model. The record is from RNAcentral.